This 544-nucleotide ribosomal RNA is filed under the name uncultured bacterium. RNAcentral's name for it is "bacterial SSU rRNA". It matches the Rfam family "Bacterial small subunit ribosomal RNA", at positions 777 to 1318 of the family's 1533-position model. The record is from RNAcentral.
AAUAGAUACCCUGGUAGUCCACGCCGUAAACGAUGAGUGCUAAGUGUUAGGGGGUUUCCGCCCCUUAGUGCUGCAGCUAACGCAUUAAGCACUCCGCCUGGGGAGUACGGUCGCAAGACUGAAACUCAAAGGAAUUGACGGGGGGCCCGCACAAGCGGUGGAGCAUGUGGUUUAAUUCGAAGCAACGCGAAGAACCUUACCAGGUCUUGAUAUCCCGUUGACCACUGUAGAGAUAUAGUUUCCCCUUCGGGGGCAACGGUGACGGGUGGUGCAUGGUUGUCGUCAGCUCGUGUCGUGAGAUGUUGGGUUAAGUCCCGCAACGAGCGCAACCCUUGAUCUUAGUUGCCAUCAUUUAGUUGGGCACUCUAAGGUGACUGCCGGUGACAAACCGGAGGAAGGUGGGGAUGACGUCAAAUCAUCAUGCCCCUUAUGACCUGGGCUACACACGUGCUACAAUGGACGAUACAAACGGUUGCCAACUCGCGAGAGGGAGCUAAUCCGAUAAAGUCGUUCUCAGUUCGGAUUGUAGGCUGCAACUCGCCUA